GUCUGGGGCGUCUCCACCAUGGCUUGGGCUCUGCUCCUUGUCACCCUCCUCACUCAGGACACAGGAUCCUGGGCCCAGUCUGGCCCGACUCAGCCUCCCUCAGUGUCCAGGAAUCUAGGACAGACGGUCACCAUCUCUUGUGCUGGAACCAGCAGUUAUGUCGACUGGUACCAACAGCUCCCAGGCAUGGCCCCCAAAACCCUGAUUUAUAAUAACAAUUAUCGGCCUUCAGGGAUCCCUGAUCGCUUCUCUGGCUCCAAGUCUGGCAACACGGCCUCCCUGACCAUCUCUGGGCUCCAGGCUGAGGACGAGGCUGAUUAUUACUGUAGCUCGGGUACAAGUAGUAACAGUUUGCACAGUGGUCCAAGUUCAUGGGGAAGUGAGACCAAAAUGUCCCUGAGUCCACAGUCUCCCUAUUGGUCUGGAGAUGCUUCUCCUCCCUGA
Non-coding RNA from Lagenorhynchus albirostris (white-beaked dolphin), 444 nucleotides. The record is from the annotation of a RefSeq genome assembly. NCBI's taxonomy places the organism in Eukaryota, Metazoa, Chordata, Mammalia, Artiodactyla, Delphinidae.